GGAGAGUUGUCCGAGUGGCCGAAGGAGCAUGAUUGGAAAUCAUGUAGAUGGGUAACCCUGUCUCAAGGGUUCGAAUCCCUUACUCUCCG
Molecule: transfer RNA, 89 nt
Filed under: Enterococcus asini
Lineage: Bacteria; Bacillati; Bacillota; Bacilli; Lactobacillales; Enterococcaceae
Also listed under: 1 other name
Description: tRNA-Ser
Rfam family: tRNA
About the family: Transfer RNA (tRNA) molecules are approximately 80 nucleotides in length. Their secondary structure includes four short double-helical elements and three loops (D, anti-codon, and T loops).
Source: RNAcentral